GGAAGGAUCAUUAACAAAUUCAACACACAUGUUUCCCUCUCGGGUGAGGUGCGAACCUUCCUGGAGGUGUAUACAUUCCACACACACCUUUGAUUGACAAUACACAAUUGAUACCAAAUAAGGUUAAUCGUGGACAACUUUUAACAAUGGAUCUCUUGGCUCUUGCAACGAUGAAGAACGCAGCGAACUGCGAAACGUAAUGUGACCUGCACUCUUCGUGAAUCAUCCAAUCUUUGAACGCACUUUGCACCUCGUGGCUUAUGUCACUUGGUAUACUUGUUUGAGUAUCCAAAACACGCUCACCUCCCCUUCGGGGCGAAGUAGAUUUGAGGGUUCGAAAAUUCUCUUUUGAAUGAUCGUCUCUUUAAAUGCGGGCCAACAACGGAAUGUCUCAGCUGGCAAUUUUUGCAGUGCUGUGAGGCAACUAUUGGGAUAACAUCCUGACGAUAGUGCCGCCUUCACAAGCAUGGCUUUGAUGGUCUAGGUCAUCUCAUCGGCGUCUUCCGCAUUCUUGUUUGGAGACAAUGAUAAAAUACUUUGUUAAAUGGAUCUCAAAUCAAGUAGGGAUACCCGCUGAACUUAAGCAUAUCAGUAAGCGGAGGAAAAGAAACUAACAAGGAUUCCUUUAGUAACGGCGAGUGAACCGGGAAAAGCUCAAAUUUAAAAUCUGGUACCACUUCGGUGCCCGAAUUGUAUUUGAUAGGGUCUUCUUUCAGGGAAGGCCAUGGCCAAAGUUCUCUGGAAAGGGACAACAAAGAGGGUGACAUUCCCGUCUGGGUCAUGGAUCUGAACUGGUACAAAGGAGGUCUCAAGAGUCGGAUUGUUUGGGAAUGCAGUCCAAAAUGGGUGGUACAUUUCAUCUAAAGCUAAAUAUUGGCAAGAGACCGAUAGCGAACAAGUACCGUGAGGGAAAGAUGAAAAGAACUUUGAAAAGAGAGUUAAAUAGUACGUGAAAUUGUUAAAAGGGAAACGAUUGAGACCAGUGAUGCUGAAUAUCCUUAAACGUGCCUUUCGAGGAACGUGUAUGGGCCUUCAGCAAGUCGAUGCCCCUUUUAGGUCUUGGAUACGACAGUGGGAAAGGUGGCGCUGCUUUCUAGUAGUUGCUUUAUAGUCCCAUUGGGAUACAAGACACUGGGAGGGGGAUACCAGGCCGCAAGGUCACGUCGACAAAAUGGUCUUAAACGACCCGUCUUGAAACACGGACCAAGGAGUCUAACAACUAUGCGAGUAUUUGGGUGGCACAAACCCGAAUGCGUAAAGAAAAUGAACGCGUGGGAUCUCCUCCGCCAUUUGGCAGGGGAGUGCACCAUGGGCCGGUCCUCGUCUCGACCUGGAUUGCGCUAGAGCAUAUCUGUUGGGACCCGAAAGAUGGUGAACUAUGCCUGAAUAGGGUGAAGCCAGAGGAAACUCUGGUGGAGGCUCGUAGACAUUCUGACGUGCAAAUCGAUGUUCAAAUUUGGGUAUAGGGGCGAAAGACUAAUCGAACCAUCUAGUAGCUGGUUCCCUC
Molecule: unclassified non-coding RNA, 1507 nt
Filed under: uncultured fungus
Lineage: Eukaryota; Fungi
Description: sequence contains 18S rRNA gene, ITS1, 5.8S rRNA gene, ITS2, 28S rRNA gene
Rfam family: Eukaryotic large subunit ribosomal RNA (bases 547-1507)
Source: RNAcentral